RNAcentral lists this non-coding RNA (29 nucleotides) under Homo sapiens (human). Lineage: Eukaryota; Metazoa; Chordata; Mammalia; Primates; Hominidae. The record is from RNAcentral.
UUCCUUAGGAAUAAGGAUGCAGGAGAAGC